AUGAAGAAAUUAGAAAGACACAAAAUCAGAAAGAAAUUUCAAACUUAUUAUAAACAAAGAAAUUACACCAGCACAAAUAACAAUACUCUCUCUCUCUCUCUCUCUCUCUCUCUCUCUCUCUCCUCUGCAUUUUCACAAGAAAAACCUCAGAAGGUUCAACAUGCUUGCUAUAUUUGAUUUGCUUUUGGUAUGAUUUUCAUGGUGGAUGUCUCAGUAUACAAACUUGCUUCUAA
Molecule: non-coding RNA, 233 nt
Organism: Vicia faba (fava bean)
Lineage: Eukaryota; Viridiplantae; Streptophyta; Magnoliopsida; Fabales; Fabaceae
Source: the annotation of a GenBank genome assembly